AGGAUGAACGCUGGCGGCGUGCCUAAUACAUGCAAGUCGAGCGGUAAGGCCGCUUCGGUGGUACACGAGCGGCGGACGGCUGAGUAACACGUAGGAACGUACCCCAAACUGAGGGAUAAGCACCAGAAAUGGUGUCUAAUACCGCAUGUGAUCUUCGGAUUAAAGCUUCGGCGGUUUGGGAACGGCCUGCGCAUGAUUAGCUUGUUGGUGAGGUAAAAGCUCACCAAGGCGACGAUCAUUAGCUGGUCUGAGAGGAUGACCAGCCAGACUGGGACUGAGAACGGCCCAGACUCCUACGGGAGGCAGCAGUAGGGAAUUUUCCACAAUGGGCGAAAGCCUGAUGGAGCAACGCCGCGUGCAGGAUGAAGGCCCUCGGGUCGUAAACUGCUUUUAUAUGUGACGAUUAUGACGGUAGCAUAUGAAUAAGGAUCGGCUAACUCCGUGCCAGCAGCCGC
Molecule: ribosomal RNA, 455 nt
Filed under: uncultured bacterium
Lineage: Bacteria
Description: SSU rRNA
Rfam family: Bacterial small subunit ribosomal RNA
Source: RNAcentral